RNAcentral lists this non-coding RNA (45 nucleotides) under Schistosoma mattheei. The record is from RNAcentral. Lineage: Eukaryota; Metazoa; Platyhelminthes; Trematoda; Strigeidida; Schistosomatidae.
CCCCAGUUGACGAGUCCCAAAUAGAACGAAACGUACGUCCUUGAU